This 699-nucleotide ribosomal RNA is filed under the name uncultured bacterium. Its description in RNAcentral is "partial 16S ribosomal RNA". The record is from RNAcentral.
UAGGUUACCUUGUUACGACUUCACCCCAGUCGCUGACCUUACCGUGGCCUGCUGCCUCUAAAAGUUAGCACACAGUCUUCGGGUAAAACCAACUCCCAUGGUGUGACGGGCGGUGUGUACAAGGCCCGGGAACGUAUUCACCGUGGCAUGCUGAUCCACGAUUACUAGCGAUUCCAACUUCAUGCUCUCGAGUUGCAGAGAACAAUCCGAACUGAGACGGCUUUUAGAGAUUAGCUCCUCAUCGCUGAGUGGCUGCUCACUGUCACCGCCAUUGUAGCACGUGUGUAGCCCGGCCCGUAAGGGCCAUGAUGAUUUGACGUCAUCCCCACCUUCCUCCGGCUUAUCACCGGCAGUCCCUCUAGAGUGCCCAACUUAAUGCUGGCAACUAAAGGCGAGGGUUGCGCUCGUUGCGGGACUUAACCCAACAUCUCACGACACGAGCUGACGACAACCAUGCAGCACCUGUAUCCAAUCCAGCCGAACUGAAGGAAAGCAUCUCUGCUAUCCGCGAUUGGUAUGUCAAGGGCCGGUAAGGUUCUUCGCGUUGCCUCGAAUUAAACCACAUGCUCCACCGCUUGUGCGGGCCCCCGUCAAUUCCUUUGAGUUUUAGUCUUGCGACCGUAGUCCCCAGGCGGGGUGCUUAACGCGUUAGCUGCGUCACCAAACAGCAUGCUGCCUGAACACUAGCACCCAUCGUUU